GACGAACGCUGGCGGCGUGCUUAACACAUGCAAGUCGAGCGGUAAGGCCCUUUCGGGGGUACACGAGCGGCGAACGGGUGAGUAACACGUGGGUGACCUGCCCUCAGCUCUGGGAUAAGCCUGGGAAACCGGGUCUAAUACCGGAUAUGACUCCAUGACGCAUGUUGUGGGGUGGAAAGCCUUGUGCGGCUGAGGAUGGGCCCGCGGCCUAUCAGCUUGUUGGUGGGGUGANGGCCUACCAAGGCGACGACGGGUAGCCGGCCUGAGAGGGCGACCGGCCACACUGGGACUGAGACACGGCCCAGACUCCUACGGGAGGCAGCAGUGGGGAAUCUUGCGCAAUGGGCAAAGCCUGACGCAGCGACG
This 366-nucleotide ribosomal RNA is filed under the name uncultured bacterium. Its description in RNAcentral is "bacterial SSU rRNA". It matches the Rfam family "Bacterial small subunit ribosomal RNA", at positions 28 to 396 of the family's 1533-position model. The record is from RNAcentral.